UUCAUUGUCUGUGUUUUUGCAGGCUUUGCUCCUGAAGACUUCGGUUUGCUGAAUGGUGCUAUACCCUAUCCAGGCAAGUGUUUCAGAUGCCUAGCCCCCCUGUAAGUUUGGAAUUUGGCUGGUGGUCUAUUAUCAGUGCUGACUGCAAUUUUGGAAAAAUUGUUCCAUUUGCUGUUUUUUUAGAUGAUAUUGAAUAACUGUUUUCCUAAUUAACUUGGAGUUAUGCCGGUGUGGUUAAUAUUGAUUUCAUGCGCAUAGUUGUUUUCAAGUGUUUCUUUGCAGAAUGUUUUCUGGUUAUGCAAUUUCAUAUGUUUCAUAUUAUGAUGAUUGCCG
Molecule: long non-coding RNA, 333 nt
Filed under: Phoenix dactylifera (date palm)
Lineage: Eukaryota; Viridiplantae; Streptophyta; Magnoliopsida; Arecales; Arecaceae
Description: long non-coding RNA (PDAC_LNC022082)
Source: RNAcentral